UACGAAGGGAGCUAGCGUUGUUCGGAAUCACUGGGCGUAAAGCGCACGUAGGCGGAUUUGCCAGUCAGGGGUGAAAUCCCGGGGCUCAACCUCGGAACUGCCUUUGAUACAGCAAGUCUUGAGUUCGAGAGAGGUGAGUGGAAUUCCUAGUGUAGAGGUGAAAUUCGUAGAUAUUAGGAAGAACACCGGUGGCGAAGGCGGCCCACUGGCUCGACACUGACGCUGAGGUGCGAAAGCGUGGGGAGCAAACAGG
RNAcentral lists this ribosomal RNA (253 nucleotides) under uncultured bacterium. Its description in RNAcentral is "partial 16S ribosomal RNA". It matches the Rfam family "Bacterial small subunit ribosomal RNA", at positions 524 to 776 of the family's 1533-position model. The record is from RNAcentral.